Molecule: ribosomal RNA, 228 nt
Filed under: uncultured bacterium
Lineage: Bacteria
Description: partial 16S ribosomal RNA
Rfam family: Bacterial small subunit ribosomal RNA
Source: RNAcentral
UACGUAGGCAGCGAGCGUUGUUCGGAAUUACUGGGCGUAAAGAGUGUGUAGGCGGUGCUCUAAGUUCGGGUGUGAAAUCUCCCGGCUUAACUGGGAGGGUGCGCCGGAAACUGGAGUGCUCGAGCGUGGGAGAGGAAAGCGGAAGUUCCUGGUGUAGCGGUGAAAUGCGUGAGAUAUCAGGAGGAACACCUGCGGUGUAGACGGCUUUCGUGGACCAUUGCUGACGCU